GAACCAGACUCCUACGGGAGGCAGCAGUGGGGAAUAUUGGGCAAUGGGCGCAAGCCUGGCCCAGCAACGCCGCGUGAAGGAAGACGGUUUUCGGAUUGGAAACCUCUGUCCUCUGUGAAGAUAAUGACGGUAGCAGAGGAGGAAGCUCCGGCUAACUACGUGCCAGCAGCCGCGGUAAUACGUAGGGAGCGAGCGUUAUCCGGAUUUACUGGGUGUAAAGGGGGCGCAGACGGCGAUGCAAGCCAGGAGUGAAAGCCCGGGGCCCAACCCCGGGACUGCUCUUGGAACUGCGUGGCUGGAGUGCAGGAGGGGCAGGCGGAAUUCCUGGUGUAGCGGUGAAAUGCGUAGAUAUCAGGAGGAACACCGGUGGCGAAGGCGGCCUGCUGGACUGCAACUGACGUUGAGGCCCGAAAGCGUGGGGAGCAAACAGGAUUAGAUGCCCUAGUA
This 447-nucleotide ribosomal RNA is filed under the name uncultured bacterium. RNAcentral's name for it is "bacterial SSU rRNA". It matches the Rfam family "Bacterial small subunit ribosomal RNA", at positions 328 to 792 of the family's 1533-position model. The record is from RNAcentral.